GCAGCAGCCAUGGCCAAGGCAGCCGAGGCAUCGCAGAACUCUGCUUACUACAACCCGGCCAAAACCGGUUCUAUGUAUGUGCCAGCAGCCCCGCCAUCCUUUGACCAGGCCAGUGCACCACCGGAGGGACCACCGCCACCAUACUCCGAGGGUUCCACGAAGACAAACUAAGGACGGCCAGGUUGUCUCUCCCAUGCACAUCUUUUCUCCUUGCCUCAUUAUGAAGUGUGUUAGUUUAACCUGACUGGGAUGACAACAUUGUCCUCCACUCCAACUAAAACAGUGAAAUAAACACAAUGCUAUUAAUAAUGCGCAGGGAAGACGUGCACACCAGUUCUCGCCAUGUUCACCGGGUGUGGUGUUUGGCAUCGUGUAUUGCAGGACUGACGCUGUGGCACAGAGUCUUUGUUGAAGUGGUUCUGGUCGUGUGUACGGAUGCCGUACGGUUUUGUGUAAUAAAGAUGUUUAUGUAAGUUCCAUCA
This is a long non-coding RNA of Rhipicephalus microplus (southern cattle tick), 482 nucleotides long. Lineage: Eukaryota; Metazoa; Arthropoda; Arachnida; Ixodida; Ixodidae. The record is from RefSeq and is a predicted model, not a curated record.